This 253-nucleotide ribosomal RNA is filed under the name uncultured bacterium. RNAcentral's name for it is "partial 16S ribosomal RNA". It matches the Rfam family "Bacterial small subunit ribosomal RNA", at positions 524 to 776 of the family's 1533-position model. The record is from RNAcentral.
UACAGAGGUCCCGAGCGUUGUUCGGAUUUAUUGGGCGUAAAGGGUGCGUAGGCGGCGGAGUAAGUUGGGUGUGAAAUCCUGGGGCUCAACCUCGGAAUGGCAUUCAAUACUGCUUCGCUCGAGUACUGGAGAGGAGGCUGGAAUUUACGGUGUAGCAGUGAAAUGCGUAGAUAUCGUAAGGAAGGCCGGUGGCGAAAGCGAGCCUCUGGACAGUUACUGACGCUGAUGCACGAAGGCCAGGGGAGCAAACGGG